UGCCCUAUCUAAGCACGGAGUUGGGCCACACAGUCCAAACGAAAGUAUGGGCUGCUUGGUCUUUAUAAUGGGGCAGGCUGCAUAAGGCUGGUUUCACAGAACAACGAAUAGCUUCCACUCAAUGCAGUGGAAGGAUACCG
Molecule: non-coding RNA, 140 nt
Filed under: Solanum tuberosum (potato)
Lineage: Eukaryota; Viridiplantae; Streptophyta; Magnoliopsida; Solanales; Solanaceae
Source: RNAcentral